This 478-nucleotide ribosomal RNA is filed under the name uncultured bacterium. Its description in RNAcentral is "partial 16S ribosomal RNA". It matches the Rfam family "Bacterial small subunit ribosomal RNA", at positions 28 to 507 of the family's 1533-position model. The record is from RNAcentral.
GAUGAACGCUAGCGGCAGGCUUAACACAUGCAAGUCGAGGGGUAUUUAUCUUCGGAUAGAGGGACCGGCGCACGGGUGCGUAACGCGUAUGCAAUCUACCUUUUACAGAGGGAUAGCCCAGAGAAAUUUGGAUUAAUACCUCAUAGUAUAUAGACUCGGCAUCGAGAUUAUAUUAAAGUCACAACGGUAAAAGAUGAGCAUGCGUCCCAUUAGCUAGUUGGUAAGGUAACGGCUUACCAAGGCUACGAUGGGUAGGGGUCCUGAGAGGGAGAUCCCCCACACUGGUACUGAGACACGGACCAGACUCCUACGGGAGGCAGCAGUGAGGAAUAUUGGACAAUGGGCGCAAGCCUGAUCCAGCCAUGCCGCGUGCAGGAUGACGGUCCUAUGGAUUGUAAACUGCUUUUAUACGAGAAGAAACACUGCUACGUGUAGCAGCUUGACGGUAUCGUAAGAAUAAGGAUCGGCUAACUCCGUG